This is a long non-coding RNA of Sapajus apella (tufted capuchin), 100 nucleotides long. RefSeq lists it as uncharacterized. The record is from RefSeq and is a predicted model, not a curated record. NCBI's taxonomy places the organism in Eukaryota, Metazoa, Chordata, Mammalia, Primates, Cebidae. The transcript has 3 exons.
GUGCCAACUGGGACCAGAGGAGUGCCAACCUGGGACCGCAGGAGCCCUUCUGGCGAGAUUCAUCACACACAGUGUGCACAGCAUCCUCCUGACUAACAGG